CGAACGCUGGCGGCGUGCUUAACACAUGCAAGUCAAGGAGAAAGUCCCGCUUGCGGGACGAUUAAACUGGCGCACGGGUGAGUAAUAUAUAAGCAAUCUACCCAUAGGUUUGGGAUAACGUCGAGAAAUCGGCGCUAAUACCGUAUAAUGCAGCGGCAUCGCAUGAUGAUGUUGUUAAAGUUCUUGAAACGCCUGUGGAUGAGCUUGUAUCUGAUUAGCUUGUUGGUGAGGUGAUGGCUCACCAAGGCUAUGAUCAGUAGCUGGUCUGAGAGGAUGAUCAGCCACAUUGGAACUGAGACACGGUCCAGACUCCUACGGGAGGCAGCAGUGAGGAAUAUUGGGCAAUGGGCGAAAGCCUGACCCAGCAACGCCGCGUGGAGGAUGAAUGUCGUAAGAUUGUAAACUCCUUUUAGAGGGGACGAAAAAACAGGUUAGAAGCCUGAAUUGACGGUACCCUCAGAAUAAGCCCCGGCUAACUAC
RNAcentral lists this ribosomal RNA (480 nucleotides) under uncultured bacterium. RNAcentral describes it as "bacterial SSU rRNA". It matches the Rfam family "Bacterial small subunit ribosomal RNA", at positions 30 to 504 of the family's 1533-position model. The record is from RNAcentral.